This 119-nucleotide ribosomal RNA is filed under the name Aotus nancymaae (Ma's night monkey). Lineage: Eukaryota; Metazoa; Chordata; Mammalia; Primates; Aotidae. The record is from RNAcentral.
GUCUACGGCCAUACCACCCUAAAUGCACCCGAUCUCGUCAGAUCUCGGAAGCAAAGCAGGGUCGGGCCUGGUUAGUACUUGGAUGGGAGACUGCCUGGGAAUACUGGGUGUCGUAGGCU